AGCGAACGCUGGCGGCAGGCCUAACACAUGCAAGUCGAACGAACUCUUCGGAGUUAGUGGCGGACGGGUGAGUAACACGUGGGAACGUGCCUUUAGGUUCGGAAUAACUCAGGGAAACUUGUGCUAAUACCGAAUGUGCCCUUCGGGGGAAAGAUUUAUCGCCUUUAGAGCGGCCCGCGUCUGAUUAGCUAGUUGGUGAGGUAAAGGCUCACCAAGGCGACGAUCAGUAGCUGGUCUGAGAGGAUGAUCAGCCACAUUGGGACUGGGACACGGCCCAAACUCCUACGGGAGGCAGCAGUGGGGAAUCUUGCGCAAUGGGCGAAAGCCUGACGCAGCCAUGCCGCGUGAAUGAUGAAGGUCUUAGGAUUGUAAAAUUCUUUCACCGGGGACGAUAAUGACGGUACCCGGAGAAGAAGCCCCGGCUAACUUCGUG
This 433-nucleotide ribosomal RNA is filed under the name uncultured bacterium. RNAcentral's name for it is "partial 16S ribosomal RNA". It matches the Rfam family "Bacterial small subunit ribosomal RNA", at positions 29 to 507 of the family's 1533-position model. The record is from RNAcentral.